RNAcentral lists this ribosomal RNA (301 nucleotides) under uncultured bacterium. RNAcentral's name for it is "partial 16S ribosomal RNA". It matches the Rfam family "Bacterial small subunit ribosomal RNA", at positions 509 to 807 of the family's 1533-position model. The record is from RNAcentral.
CAGCAGCCGCGGUAAUACGGAGGAUCCAAGCGUUAUCCGGAUUUAUUGGGUUUAAAGGGUGCGUAGGUGGCCUGUUAAGUCAGGGGUGAAAGACGGUAGCUUAACUAUCGCAGUGCCCUUGAUACUGAUGGGCUUGAAUGAACUAGAGGUAGGCGGAAUGUGACAAGUAGCGGUGAAAUGCAUAGAUAUGUCACAGAACACCAAUUGCGAAGGCAGCUUACUAUGGUUUUAUUGACACUGAGGCACGAAAGCGUGGGGAUCAAACAGGAUUAGAUACCCCCGUAGUCCCUGUCUCUUAUAC